UAGUACGAUCGUACCAGCACUAAUGCUCCAUAUCCCAUCAGAACUCCGCAGUCAAGCGUGCUUGGGCGAGAGUAGUAGUUGGACGGGUGACCUACUGGGAAGUCCUCGUGUUCCACCUA
This 119-nucleotide ribosomal RNA is filed under the name Lupinus angustifolius (narrow-leaved blue lupine). Lineage: Eukaryota; Viridiplantae; Streptophyta; Magnoliopsida; Fabales; Fabaceae. The record is from RNAcentral.